GGCAGCACACUCACCCUGAGCUGGGUCACUAGGGGAGCUGGCAUCUGGAUCCUUCCCCCGGCUCCAGGGACCCCAGGAAAAGCAUGCCAGCAGUGCUGGGAGGCCCGGUCUCUCCCCGGGUCCUGCUGCUAGAAAGAACACAAAGUCCCAGACGCAGCAGCUCCUGGCCAGCAUGUCUCCUGCCCAGAGAGAUUAAUGGAAGAUUCAGUCAGGAUGGGUCUGGGGGACCCAGUCUCCAUUCAAUUCAAGGGGCUGCGAACUGACAUAUCAGAGAAGCCACCCUGGGACCUUCUGCUGAAAUCAGAGACUAUUUCAAUGGCAGUAUCCUCCCCAAAACAGUCUGCCCGUCACACACAGAGAGAGAGAGAGAGGCAGAGACACAGGCAGAGAGAGAAGCAGGCUCCAUGCACCGGGAGCCCGACGUGGGACUCGAUCCAGGGUCUCCAGGAUCGCGCCCUGAGCCAAAGGCAAGCGCCAAACCGCUGCGCCACCCAGGGAUCCCUGGUUUGUCUUUCUUGAGGCAAACUUGAGAAGACCAAUCUGUAGUCAAGGAAAUGCUAACUCUCUCAGCCACCAACGCAUAUAACAAAAACCUAAAAACAGUAUGUUUGCAAGGCACCUGGGUGGCUCAGUCAGUCAAGUGUUUGACUCUUGGUUUCGGUUCAGGU
This is a long non-coding RNA of Canis lupus familiaris (dog), 668 nucleotides long. RefSeq lists it as uncharacterized. NCBI's taxonomy places the organism in Eukaryota, Metazoa, Chordata, Mammalia, Carnivora, Canidae. The record is from RefSeq and is a predicted model, not a curated record. The transcript is spliced from 4 exons.